This 913-nucleotide ribosomal RNA is filed under the name Escherichia coli. RNAcentral's name for it is "partial 23S ribosomal RNA". It matches the Rfam family "Bacterial large subunit ribosomal RNA", at positions 1 to 955 of the family's 2925-position model. Lineage: Bacteria; Pseudomonadati; Pseudomonadota; Gammaproteobacteria; Enterobacterales; Enterobacteriaceae. The record is from RNAcentral.
GGUUAAGCGACUAAGCGUACACGGUGGAUGCCCUGGCAGUCAGAGGCGAUGAAGGACGUGCUAAUCUGCGAUAAGCGUCGGUAAGGUGAUAUGAACCGUUAUAACCGGCGAUUUCCGAAUGGGGAAACCCAGUGUGAUUCGUCACACUAUCAUUAACUGAAUCCAUAGGUUAAUGAGGCGAACCGGGGGAACUGAAACAUCUAAGUACCCCGAGGAAAAGAAAUCAACCGAGAUUCCCCCAGUAGCGGCGAGCGAACGGGGAGCAGCCCAGAGCCUGAAUCAGUGUGUGUGUUAGUGGAAGUGUCUGGAAAGGCGCGCGAUACAGGGUGACAGCCCCGUACACAAAAAUGCACAUACUGUGAGCUCGAUGAGUAGGGCGGGACACGUGGUAUCCUGUCUGAAUAUGGGGGGACCAUCCUCCAAGGCUAAAUACUCCUGACUGACCGAUAGUGAACCAGUACCGUGAGGGAAAGGCGAAAAGAACCCCGGCGAGGGGAGUGAAAAAGAACCUGAAACCGUGUACGUACAAGCAGUGGGAGCACGCUUCGGCGUGUGACUGCGUACCUUUUGUAUAAUGGGUCAGCGACUUAUAUUCUGUAGCAAGGUUAACCGAAUAGGGGAGCCGAAGGGAAACCGAGUCUUAACUGGGCGUUAAGUUGCAGGGUAUAGACCCGAAACCCGGUGAUCUAGCCAUGGGCAGGUUGAAGGUUGGGUAACACUAACUGGAGGACCGAACCGACUAAUGUUGAAAAAUUAGCGGAUGACUUGUGGCUGGGGGUGAAAGGCCAAUCAAACCGGGAGAUAGCUGGUUCUCCCCGAAAGCUAUUUAGGUAGCGCCUCGUGAAUUCAUCUCCGGGGGUAGAGCACUGUUUCGGCAAGGGGGUCAUCCCGACUUACCAACCCGAUGCAAACU